UGUGGCCUACGGGGGGCAGCAGUAGGGAAUCUUCCACAAUGGGCGAAAGCCUGAUGGAGCAACGCCGCGUGGGUGAAGAAGGUCUUCGGAUCGUAAAACCCUGUUGUUAGAGAAGAAAGUGCGUGAGAGUAACUGUUCACGUUUCGACGGUAUCUAACCAGAAAGCCACGGCUAACUACGUGCCAGCAGCCGCGGUAAUACGUAGGGAGCAAGCGUUAUCCGGAAUUAUUGGGUGUAAAGGGUGCGUAGACGGGAUAACAAGUUAGCUGUGAAACCCCUCGGCUCAACUGAGGAACUGCAACUAA
RNAcentral lists this ribosomal RNA (305 nucleotides) under uncultured bacterium. RNAcentral describes it as "bacterial SSU rRNA". It matches the Rfam family "Bacterial small subunit ribosomal RNA", at positions 333 to 630 of the family's 1533-position model. The record is from RNAcentral.